This is a long non-coding RNA of Fukomys damarensis (Damara mole-rat), 376 nucleotides long. RefSeq lists it as uncharacterized. NCBI's taxonomy places the organism in Eukaryota, Metazoa, Chordata, Mammalia, Rodentia, Bathyergidae. The record is from RefSeq and is a predicted model, not a curated record. The transcript is spliced from 4 exons.
AUGGAACCUAUGAUACUCUCUGCCCACAGACUGAUACAGGCUGAGAAAAAAGUAUGAGUCCAUUUUAUGCAAACCUUUGUUAAACACCUACUCCGUUCUGAACUAUACAGAUACAGAAAGAAAUAAGACGUGAUGCUCAGUCUCAGGAAGUCUGUGGCCUAUAAAGGGGUGGAAUGCAAGAGGAUUCUAUGGAUGCAAGUGCACUACUGUAUUUACCAGCACUGAGUUACAGGACGGUGAGAGCAGAUGGAUAAAUUGACACCACACAGCCACAGCAUGGGCUACAAAAUAAUCAUCCGGUGAAAGUGGCUGCAAAGACCACUACCCCCUAUGCUGGGUACUCAGACCUGGCACAGAGCAGGAAAAAGAAAGAAAA